AAACUUUCAACAACGGAUCUCUUGGUUCUGGCAUCGAUGAAGAACGCAGCGAAAUGCGAUAAGUAGUGUGAAUUGCAGAAUUCAGUGAAUCAUCGAAUCUUUGAACGCACAUUGCGCCCCUUGGUAUUCCUUGGGGCAUGCCUGUUCGAGCGUCAUUUGA
RNAcentral lists this ribosomal RNA (160 nucleotides) under Spororminula subticinensis. RNAcentral's name for it is "Preussia subticinensis 5.8S ribosomal RNA". It matches the Rfam family "5.8S ribosomal RNA". Rfam says of the family: 5.8S ribosomal RNA (5.8S rRNA) is a component of the large subunit of the eukaryotic ribosome. The record is from RNAcentral. Lineage: Eukaryota; Fungi; Ascomycota; Dothideomycetes; Pleosporales; Sporormiaceae.